GCCUCCCUCCCGCCGCCCACUCAGACUCCUACGGAGGGCAGCAGUGGGGAAUAUUGGACAAUGGGCGCAAGCCUGAUCCAGCAAUGCCGCGUGUGUGAAGAAGGCCUUCGGGUUGUAAGGGCACUUUUGUCCGGUAAAGAAAACUUCUGCCCUAAUACGGCGGGAGGAUGACGGUACCGGAAGAAUAAGCACCGGCUAACUACGUGCCAGCAGCCGCGGUAAUAC
Molecule: ribosomal RNA, 225 nt
Filed under: uncultured bacterium
Lineage: Bacteria
Description: partial 16S ribosomal RNA
Rfam family: Bacterial small subunit ribosomal RNA
Source: RNAcentral